This 482-nucleotide ribosomal RNA is filed under the name uncultured bacterium. RNAcentral describes it as "partial 16S ribosomal RNA". It matches the Rfam family "Bacterial small subunit ribosomal RNA", at positions 28 to 507 of the family's 1533-position model. The record is from RNAcentral.
GACGAACGCUGGCGGCGUGCCUAACACAUGCAAGUCGAACGGAACUGUUUUGAAAGAUUUCUUCGGAAUGAAUUUGAUUUAGUUUAGUGGCGGACGGGUGAGUAACGCGUGAGUAACCUACCUUCAAGAGGGGAAUAACAUUCUGAAAAGAAUGCUAAUACCGCAUGACAUAUCGGAACCACAUGGUUUUGAUAUCAAAGAUUUUAUCGCUUGAAGAUGGACUCGCGUCCGAUUAGUUAGUUGGUGAGGUAACGGCUCACCAAGACCGCGAUCGGUAGCCGGACUGAGAGGUUGAACGGCCACAUUGGGACUGAGACACGGCCCAGACUCCUACGGGAGGCAGCAGUGGGGGAUAUUGCGCAAUGGGGGCAACCCUGACGCAGCAACGCCGCGUGAAGGAUGAAGGUUUUCGGAUUGUAAACUUCUUUUAUUAAGGACGAAAAAUGACGGUACUUAAUGAAUAAGCGCCGGCUAACUACGUG